Molecule: ribosomal RNA, 435 nt
Filed under: Vibrio sp. 5U4,1 12
Lineage: Bacteria; Pseudomonadati; Pseudomonadota; Gammaproteobacteria; Vibrionales; Vibrionaceae
Description: bacterial SSU rRNA
Rfam family: Bacterial small subunit ribosomal RNA
Source: RNAcentral
AGCCUGAUGCAGCCAUGCCGCGUGUGUGAAGAAGGCCUUCGGGUUGUAAAGCAGCGUGAGGAAGGUGUGAGUUAAUAGCUGCUAUUGACGUUAGCGACAGAAGAAGCACCGGCUAACUCCGUGCCAGCAGCCGCGGUAAUACGGAGGGUGCGAGCGUUAAUCGGAAUUACUGGGCGUAAAGCGCAUGCAGGUGGUUUGUUAAGUCAGAUGUGAAAGCCCGGGGCUCAACCUCGGAAUAGCAUUUGAAACUGGCAGACUAGAGUACUGUAGAGGGGGGUAGAAUUUCAGGUGUAGCGGUGAAAUGCGUAGAGAUCUGAAGGAAUACCGGUGGCGAAGGCGGCCCCCUGGACAGAUACUGACACUCAGAUGCGAAAGCGUGGGGAGCAAAUUAGAUACCCUGGUAGUCCACGCCGUAAACGAUGUCUACUUGAGUUG